This is a non-coding RNA of Obba rivulosa, 95 nucleotides long. The record is from the annotation of a GenBank genome assembly. NCBI's taxonomy places the organism in Eukaryota, Fungi, Basidiomycota, Agaricomycetes, Polyporales, Gelatoporiaceae.
GGCUCAAUGGUCUAGUAGUAUGAUUCGCGCUUCGGGUUGGAUCCUUUAGGGUCUGCUAGUGCGCGAGGUCCCGGGUUCAAUUCCCGGUUGAGCCC